Gopherus evgoodei (Goodes thornscrub tortoise) is the source of this 141-nucleotide long non-coding RNA. RefSeq lists it as uncharacterized. NCBI's taxonomy places the organism in Eukaryota, Metazoa, Chordata, Testudines, Testudinidae. The transcript is spliced from 2 exons. The record is from RefSeq and is a predicted model, not a curated record.
AAACAUGGUUUUUGUAAAGGGAAAUUAUGCCUCAUCAAUCUACAAGAAUUCUUAGAGGGGGUCAACAACCAGGUGGACAAGGGGGAAUCAGAGGAUAUAGUGUACUAAGAUUUUCAGAAAGCCUUUGACAAGGUUCCUCAC